RNA transcript from Capsicum annuum, 2368 nucleotides. It is a transcript of the gene named serine/threonine-protein kinase DDB_G0283821, with no coding region annotated. Lineage: Eukaryota; Viridiplantae; Streptophyta; Magnoliopsida; Solanales; Solanaceae. The record is from RefSeq and is a predicted model, not a curated record. The transcript is spliced from 3 exons.
AUGAAUUGGUUAUAAUGUUCUCCAAUUUGCCUUCCAAGCAUCAAUGAUGUCCAAAAAAUUAUUUUUAUUUUACACUAUCAAAUUACACACUCCAUCUAUCUCAAUUUACAUAAAGGUUGGACGAACCUAAUAAUAACAAUUCAAAAUAUAUAACAAGUAUGUAACUAGUGGUAAAUUAAAGCCACAAAGGAAUCCCUCUAACUCCUCUGUACCACAGAGAUAAAACAAAUCAAUGUUCAUUCUGUUCCUUCACCUGGUGGAGGUAGAUAGAUAUCAAUUCCGCUACAAGCCGGUCGCCUCCGGGACGGAUGAGGGGGGGGGGCAUCGUAGAAGAAAGUAAUUAUGGAUAAUAGCAACAUCCAAACACCGACACCAUCUUCGACUAUAACUGCAGACUCUUCAAUAUCUUCCCAGCAGCCUGUUUUCCCGCAUGCUCUUUUAGCUUCCCCAAACAGCAACCAUGUUCUCGAAAUCACCCUUAUUUCUGCACAAGAUCUUUCUCCUGUCUGCAAAUCUCUUCGAACCUAUGCAUUGGCUUGGGUCAAUCCCAAUCGCAAGCGCACCACUCGCGUUGAUAAUCAAGGCCACACCAAUCCCAAUUGGAAUGACAAGUUUUCUUUCCGCGUUGAUGAUGAAUUCCUUAACUCCGAAUCCUCUGCUGUCCACGUUGAAAUAUAUACGGUUUCUUGGUUUCGUGAUAUUCUUGUAGGAACUGUUAAAGUUGUUCUCGAUAAUCUCAUUAACCCUUACCAGAAUCAGAACAAGAAAUUUGUAGCUCUACAAAUCCGUAGGCCUUCCGGUAAUCCACAAGGAAUACUCAACAUGGCUGUUGCCCUUGUUGACAAGACCAAACGAAGCUUGCCUUUAUUCAGCGAAAUCACCCCAUUGUCAUUGGAUCAUCGAGACAUUUUAGACAGGAAAAUAAAUGACAUUAAUGCUCAGGAUCAAAAUCAAAUGACCAACGGCAACAACACUAAUCAACACGAUGAGGAGAAAUUGCAAAUAAGCAACAAAAUUCAGAUGUGGCAAUCACAGAACAACCUAGGAUAUUCCGAUAUCACUAAUACCGGAGAAUUUCCUAACCAAGCAGGCUCAAUUUGCAAUGGUUCAAUAGCAAACAACGGCUCGGAACUGUGCUCAGACAUAGGGCCAUCUGCUUCCAUUGUGGCAGCUGAGAUAGCAAAGAAGUUGCAUCCAAUGCAACCACAACGACUGUCUUCCAGAGCAAUGAACAACAAGGAGUCUGUAGCAGGGAAAGACGGAGAGAAGAACUCUAUAUUGGAGGAGCUGACAGCGGAGGAAGCGUACGCUAAAGGGUUGGAGAAAAAGAACAACAAAGAGGAGACAGCAACAGCAGAAAGAGCAACCGGAGGACAUACACGGCGUAACACAGACGGAGGAGGAUUAUAUUCAUGCUUUGGAAAUGCAUAUUGUUUCGAGUUCACAAUUGUGUGUGGGGCGAGUAACAACAACAAUCAGAGGAAUCAUAGAGAUAAUAACAACAGUAAUAGUACUGGCAAGAGCAGGAAGAAGACGAAUUCUGCUUAAUAUAUAUUCUUUGGUGCAGGGAUAAUUUUUAACAACCUAUGGAGAGCUUUGGCGAAGACAUGCUGCAAGUACAACUGAGGAAUUAGAUGUUGUUGAUAAGGAGAGACAUAAAUCACAAUUAAGCCUUAUUUUAAGGUGCCAAGACAGAGUCGAGAGCCAACUAACCACCAUUUAAAACUGGAAGCACAGGCGCUAUGAUAUUGAGCUUUGUGCAUGAGCUAAUGCAACUGUAUGCAUGCAUAAUGAUCCAUUGUACAUUAUCUUUGCUAGAAUUUGAAGGAAAACUUGACAAGGAUUAGUUUUAUACGGACUAGCCGAUGAGCUUCAAAAGUUUCUUCCAUCCAAGCAGUACUCAAUGAUGCAGGGAAGUAGCCAUCAAUCAGGUGAGGGACUGGAUAACAAGGGUUAAGGAAGUGUUCUUUUGAGGCUGAUGAUCUCUUGGAUGACGAUUACCACUGAAGUUAAAACAUCGAAAAUUGUUCAACAAGGUAGGCAUAUCUUCUUCUCAAAAUCGAAUUCUAUGAUUUAUAAUCCUACGAUGACUCAUCGUCUCAAGGCCAUUCUACGAGACCUAGAUGCAAUUGCAAGAGAUACGGUUGCAUUAGCUCAUGCACAAAGCUCAGCAAAGCUUGACGGCCUUACAGCAGCAAUAUCAUAUCACCUGUACUUUCGGUUUUAAAUGUUGAUGUUCAAUAAUGUUCGAAGAAGAAGCACUUGGAUACCUCAACAUUGAACCCGUGACCUCCUGGUCACAUGACAGCAACUUUACCGGUUACUCCAAGGCUCCCCUUCUGGAUACUAAUACAGUAUAUGUGUCACA